CCCCCUCGAGAUGAGAUUUCCCAUCACGUAAGUGAGUAAGACCCCUGAGAGAUGAUCAGGUAGAUAGGUUGGAAGUGGAAGUACAGCGAUGUAUGGAGCGGACCAAUACUAAUCGGUCGAGGACUUAACCAA
This 132-nucleotide ribosomal RNA is filed under the name Carnobacterium maltaromaticum. RNAcentral's name for it is "partial 23S ribosomal RNA". It matches the Rfam family "Bacterial large subunit ribosomal RNA", at positions 2794 to 2925 of the family's 2925-position model. The record is from RNAcentral. Lineage: Bacteria; Bacillati; Bacillota; Bacilli; Lactobacillales; Carnobacteriaceae.